CACCGGCGGCUCGAGUGGUGGCCACUUUUAUUGGGUCUAAAGCGUCCGUAGCCGGCUUGGCAAGUCCCCUGGGAAAUCUGGCGGCUUAACCGUCAGGCGUCCAGAGGAUACUGCCAGGCUUGGGACCGGGAGAGGUGAGAGGUACCUCAGGGGUAGGGGUGAAAUCUUGUGAUCCCUGAGGGACCACCAGUGGCGAAGGCGUCUCACUAGAACGGGUCCGACGGUCAGGGACGAAAGCUGGGGGCACGAACCGU
This 254-nucleotide ribosomal RNA is filed under the name uncultured microorganism. Its description in RNAcentral is "partial 16S ribosomal RNA". It matches the Rfam family "Archaeal small subunit ribosomal RNA", at positions 474 to 727 of the family's 1478-position model. The record is from RNAcentral.